GACUACAGGGGUAUCUAAUCCUGUUUGCUCCCCACGCUUUCGUCCCUCAGGGUCAGUACUGCGCCAGUGAGCCGCCUUCGCCAUCGGUGUUCUUCCUGAUAUCUACGCAUUCCACCGCUACACCAGGAAUUCCGCUCACCCCUCGCAGACUCCAGCCCGCCAGUAUCCAAUGCCGUUCCGCAGUUGAGCCGCGGGAUUUCACAUCAGACUUGGCAGACCCCCUACGGACCCUUUACGCCCAGUGAAUCCGAAUAACGCUCGCCACCUACGUAUUACCGCGGCUGCUGGCACGUAGUUAGCCGUGGCUUCCUCUGAGGGUACCGUCACAUUCUUCGUCCCCUCUGACAGAGGUUUACAACCCGAAGGCCUUCAUCCCUCACGCGGCAUCGCUCCGUCAGGCUUUCGCCCAUUGCGGAAGAUUCUCGACUGCAGCCUCCCGUAGG
Molecule: ribosomal RNA, 443 nt
Filed under: uncultured bacterium
Lineage: Bacteria
Description: partial 16S ribosomal RNA
Source: RNAcentral